RNAcentral lists this ribosomal RNA (162 nucleotides) under Thelonectria rubrococca. RNAcentral's name for it is "partial large subunit ribosomal RNA". It matches the Rfam family "Eukaryotic large subunit ribosomal RNA", at positions 99 to 261 of the family's 3401-position model. Lineage: Eukaryota; Fungi; Ascomycota; Sordariomycetes; Hypocreales; Nectriaceae. The record is from RNAcentral.
CGGCAAUAGCUCAAAUUUGAAAUCUGGCUCUUUCAGGGUCCGAGUUGUAAUUUGUAGAGGAUGCUUUUGGCGCGGUGCCUUCCGAGUUCCCUGGAACGGGACGCCAUAGAGGGUGAGAGCCCCAUCUGGUCGGACACCAAGCCUCUGUAAAGCUCCUUCGAC